RNAcentral lists this unclassified non-coding RNA (1326 nucleotides) under Athalia rosae (coleseed sawfly). Its description in RNAcentral is "misc RNA ENSAEAG00005012959.1". The record is from RNAcentral. Lineage: Eukaryota; Metazoa; Arthropoda; Insecta; Hymenoptera; Athaliidae.
CUACGUUAUUCCGAUGAACUAUUUUUGCCGCAAGCGGGUGGAUGGCAAUCGAUUUAAACAUCACGAGCUUUUGAGAGGCGUUCGGUGAAGCUAACUGCACAUUGUUAGCGAUCCCGAAUCUCCGUAAGUAGUGAGGCUAAUUUGGGAUCGGGGUCAACGGAUUUAAGUCUUCGUUCAAGGCCCUCGAGAUCCACGCGUUCGAUCCAAGUCGGAGGAUCCGUAUCUCGGGGUGGAAGAGGAGCCAGCAAUCUUUCAGCGGCAGCGCAUAUCCCGCACCAAGUCCUGAAGUCGACAGGAACCGGCGACGGGAAUAUUAUCCGGCAGCAUGUGUUUCACCCCGUUUUCGUCUUCCUCGAAGUACCUGUUGAAAGCUCGUCUGAAUAUCAAUUUUCUUCCGGGGGUGACGAAUACGUGCCGACUCAGAGCUAUUCUUAUGGAUUCGUUCGACUUGCCUUCGUUGAAAAUUCCCCUUCGACGGUGUCGCGAUCCAACUGUCUGCCAAGAUGCUUGAGGAUAUCUGCGUCGAUAAAACUAUUCGGUAAAACACGAUCAGCUGGAAGAGGUAUGGGUACUUCGCUCGACGGUAAGAUCACCGUCCCGUCAGCGAGAGAAGGUCUUGAUCUGUAAAAAAUUGAUUUUGCAUUUUUUUAAUCGCAGGGAAUCCGAUGGUUAUUUUACCAUCCAUCUAAAACAACCACUAACGAAUUAUUCUUGUAACCAGUCUCAACCUGAGACACCUGCGUUUCCAGAGGCUCCGGAGGAUCUCUGACUUCCGUUUGCUGUCCGUAAGUGGAUCCGCGACGGCAUUUCCUUUUCCGCAAUCUUUUACCGCGUCUCCUCAUAGGCGUUUCGUCGCUCUCGCUAUCCACGUCUGCUGCAGCAGCAAUGUUUUUCGGCGUGCUCUGCGAAUCGGUGAUGACAAUAACAAAAAUUAAUUCAGACAAUCAGAUCCACGUUUCGCUGAAGUUCCAGCACUGGUGUCGUCAGCGACGGUUACCGCGACUAUGAAUCACAGUUUAAUAAAAUGCCGUAUCGGAAAUUAAUUUCAUAAUAAAGUAUUAGCAUAAUCAGAUAAGCGCGUUUUUAUCUUAUAAUUAAAAUAGAAACACACGGCGUACCGCGUUGCUGACAUUCACAGUAGGUGGGGGUGGCGCCGGAACGGAUGGCGUUACAUUCAAGGGUAACAACAUUGUCGGUCUGGGUACGAAGAUUUCACUUCUUCGUGGACUCGGCAAAGGUUCCAAGCUCAACGCGUGCCAGCUCAGAGUUUCUAUGUCCUGGAAGAUGUCGGUCAAUUUUUUUUCUCGUACAAAAAAUAGAAGAAAA